RNAcentral lists this unclassified non-coding RNA (508 nucleotides) under Hevea brasiliensis (rubber tree). The record is from RNAcentral. Lineage: Eukaryota; Viridiplantae; Streptophyta; Magnoliopsida; Malpighiales; Euphorbiaceae.
AGAAGUUAAAAGAUUUUGCUGGGUAAUUCCUUUUCUUAAUUUAAAUCCUACUGAUAAUUUACUGAUUAUAUGUUGAGUUACUUUUUAGCUUCAGUGCCUGUUGUUGCAUAUUCUUAGAUAUGUUCUUUAUUAAAAUUUUGAGCUUCUAUGGCAUUGUGGUCUAUUCUGUUCCAAUUCUGGAGAAUCAAGUGACUGGGGCCUAUCCUGCUUGGAUUGUUUUGGUUUGAUUAUGCAAACAAGAUGCUUGAUUAUGUAAAUAUUUAGUCGAGUAUGUGUGACUCGGGUUAAGGGCUGCAGAAGGAAAGCUUUAACUGGUUUGUAUCAACGUAUUAAACCCUGCUAUUUGAAACAUUUUUUAUUUUUGCCCAUUGAAGCAACUUUUUUUUAUGAUAUUUUAUCUCAAUUUUAAUGAACCCUUUGCAUCCAUUUCUAGCAUCGUCAAUAAAUGUAGAUUGCAUUAACUGAAAAAGCUGUUGAAUUUACAGGUCUGUUGCAAAUGGAGCUCUGA